GUCUGGUUGGCUUAGCUGGUUAGAGCGUCGGUCUCAUAAAAUAACAAGCAUUAUGAUCAAGCAUUAGCUUGAGACAUCCGAAGAUCGCGAGUUCGAUCCUCGCACCGGACA
Molecule: non-coding RNA, 111 nt
Organism: Xylariaceae sp. FL1019
Lineage: Eukaryota; Fungi; Ascomycota; Sordariomycetes; Xylariales; Xylariaceae
Source: the annotation of a GenBank genome assembly